GGGGAAUAUUGCGCAAUGGGCGAAAGCCUGACGCAGCGACGCCGCGUGGAGGAUGAAGGUUUUCGGAUUGUAAACUCCUGUUAAGUGGGAAGAAAGGCCUGAUAGUAAUAUGAUCAGGAUAUGACGGUACCACUAGAGAAAGCACCGGCUAACUUCGUGCCAGCAGCCGCGGUAAUACGAGGGGUGCAAGCGUUAUUCGGAAUAAUUGGGCGUAAAGGGUGCGUAGACGGUUUUUUAAUUCUGUUGUUAAAUUCCCCGGCUUAACUGGGGGCCUGCAAUGGAAACUGAUUGACUAGAGGGUGAGAGAGAGAAGUGGAAUUCCAGGAGUAGCGGUAAAAUGCGUAGAUCUCUGGAGGAACACCGAUGGCGAAGGCAGCUUCUUGGCUCAUUUCUGACGUUGAUGCACGAAAGCGUGGGGAGCAAAC
Molecule: ribosomal RNA, 425 nt
Filed under: uncultured bacterium
Lineage: Bacteria
Description: bacterial SSU rRNA
Rfam family: Bacterial small subunit ribosomal RNA
Source: RNAcentral